AGAGUUUGAUCCUGGCUCAGAUUGAACGCUGGCGGCAGGCCUAACACAUGCAAGUCGAACGGUAACAUUUCUAGCUUGCUAGAAGAUGACGAGUGGCGGACGGGUGAGUAAUGCUUGGGAACUUGCCUUUGCGAGGGGGAUAACAGUUGGAAACGACUGCUAAUACCGCAUAAUGUCUUCGGACCAAACGGGGCUUCGGCUCCGGCGCAAAGAGAGGCCCAAGUGAGAUCAGCUAGUUGGUAAGGUAACGGCUUACCAAGGCGACGAUCUCUAGCUGUUCUGAGAGGAAGAUCAGCCACACUGGGACUGAGACACGGCCCAGACUCCUACGGGAGGCAGCAGUGGGGAAUAUUGCACAAUGGGGGAAACCCUGAUGCAGCCAUGCCGCGUGUGUGAAGAAGGCCUUCGGGUUGUAAAGCACUUUCAGUUGUGAGGAAAAGUUAGUAGCUAAUACCUGCUAGCCGUGACGUUAACAACAGAAGAAGCACCGGCUAACUCCGUG
RNAcentral lists this ribosomal RNA (502 nucleotides) under uncultured Alteromonas sp. RNAcentral describes it as "bacterial SSU rRNA". It matches the Rfam family "Bacterial small subunit ribosomal RNA", at positions 8 to 507 of the family's 1533-position model. Lineage: Bacteria; Pseudomonadati; Pseudomonadota; Gammaproteobacteria; Alteromonadales; Alteromonadaceae. The record is from RNAcentral.